GUGCCCGGCCGCGACUGGCGAGGGUGGACGACCACCGGGGAGCGGCCCGAUCCGAUGUGAGCGUCGACCGCCUGGGCGCCUCCG
This 84-nucleotide non-coding RNA is filed under the name Streptomyces sp. RNAcentral's name for it is "ZTP sequence". It matches the Rfam family "ZMP/ZTP riboswitch aptamer (pfl RNA motif)". From Rfam's summary of the family: Previously known as pfl RNA. ZMP is also known as AICAR. RNAcentral also lists the same sequence under 1 other name. Lineage: Bacteria; Bacillati; Actinomycetota; Actinomycetes; Kitasatosporales; Streptomycetaceae. The record is from RNAcentral.